Molecule: ribosomal RNA, 739 nt
Filed under: Arthrobacter sp.
Lineage: Bacteria; Bacillati; Actinomycetota; Actinomycetes; Micrococcales; Micrococcaceae
Description: bacterial SSU rRNA
Rfam family: Bacterial small subunit ribosomal RNA
Source: RNAcentral
AGAGUUUGAUCCUGGCUCAGGAUGAACGAUGCCGGCGUGCUUAACACAUGCAAGUCGAACGAUGAUCCCAGCUUGCUGGGGGAUUAGUGGCGAACGGGUGAGUAACACGUGAGUAACCUGCCCUUGACUCUGGGAUAAGCCUGGGAAACUGGGUCUAAUACCGGAUAUGACUCCUCAUCGCAUGGUGGGGGGUGGAAAGCUUUUGUGGUUUUGGAUGGACUCGCGGCCUAUCAGCUUGUUGGUGGGGUAAUGGCCUACCAAGGCGACGACGGGUAGCCGGCCUGAGAGGGUGACCGGCCACACUGGGACUGAGACACGGCCCAGACUCCUACGGGAGGCAGCAGUGGGGAAUAUUGCACAAUGGGCGCAAGCCUGAUGCAGCGACGCCGCGUGAGGGAUGACGGCCUUCGGGUUGUAAACCUCUUUCAGUAGGGAAGAAGCGUAAGUGACGGUACCUGCAGAAGAAGCGCCGGCUAACUACGUGCCAGCAGCCGCGGUAAUACGUAGGGCGCAAGCGUUAUCCGGAAUUAUUGGGCGUAAAGAGCUCGUAGGCGGUUUGUCGCGUCUGCUGUGAAAGACCGGGGCUCAACUCCGGUUGGCUAGUGGGUACGGGCAGACUAGAGUGCAGUAGGGGAGACUGGAAUUCCUGGUGUAGCGGUGAAAUGCGCAGAUAUCAGGAGGAACACCGAUGGCGAAGGCAGGUCUCUGGGCUGUAACUGACGCUGAGGAGCGAAAGCAU